RNAcentral lists this long non-coding RNA (603 nucleotides) under Anas platyrhynchos platyrhynchos (common mallard). RNAcentral's name for it is "lncRNA (ENSAPLG00000028027.1)". Lineage: Eukaryota; Metazoa; Chordata; Aves; Anseriformes; Anatidae. The record is from RNAcentral.
AGAACUUGUGAGGGUCCAAACAGAGACAAAUCCUGAGCUUUUUCUUCAUUUCUAUUUGAGAUGUAUUAAUAUUAUAUGAGUCAGUGGCAAAGGUGGUGGAAUGUAGACCUUGCUAAAGCACCCGUCCAGUCACAGUGAAUUUGCACCACUAAAUGCAGCCAAUGUCUGAACACCUUCUCCUUUGCAGAUGGACAAGCUGGUAGAGAAUCAAGGGCAAAUAAAAAGGUGAUUGUAAGAAGGAGGAAAAGAAAGAUAAAGGUGAAAACUGGAAAAGAAAACAAAUGGAGAAGGGGAUCACAGGCAAUAAGCGGAUUCAAGGAUUCACAGAAACAAAGCAAGUAUGUAUAGCUGCUCUAAAGAAACAACUGGUGUUGCAAAGAUGAGGUCCUUAUUUUUUGCCUGAUGUUUGUGGCAUUCUUCAAAGAUGAUGUCAGGUAUAUGAGAAAACACUUUGUGGUAUAUAGUUUCUCAUAUUUCUAAACUCCUCACAAAGACAACCAAAUUUUAUUCAAACAAUAAUGUGACAACACUAAACUUUUCAUAUGUGCUUUUAUGCAUGUACACAUGUCCUGUCAUAAAUUCUUACUGGAAACAUGAAUUUUG